This is an RNA transcript of Dreissena polymorpha, 3248 nucleotides long. It is a transcript of the gene named A disintegrin and metalloproteinase with thrombospondin motifs 3-like, with no coding region annotated. NCBI's taxonomy places the organism in Eukaryota, Metazoa, Mollusca, Bivalvia, Myida, Dreissenidae. The record is from RefSeq and is a predicted model, not a curated record. The transcript has 16 exons.
AUCCGGCAGUACAUCACGUGACCGUGAUCUAACCGUAAGUAUGUAUUCAUACGCGCCGAUUAACAUGUUCUAAUAUUUGACCUUUGAAAUUUAUUGGGACGCAUCAUGAAAGUUAUCGUAAUAUUAUAUAUCAUCAUUUUUAUCUUCUUAAAAAUAUAUUACCGAACCAGACUUCCGUAUUUAUCAUGUUCAUUUACUUGAUUACGCAAUUUAUGACUUAUCUGGUGUGACGUCAUUUCUCUGACAAAACGUAUAUACUAUCUAGUUUCUCUCAGGAUUUUAGGGACAACAAUUUUGACGUGGCGGUUUUAACAGUAUUUUUUAAUAUUUUAAAGCAUCGAACGAAUCAUAAACGAUUUUCGGAGUGUGUGUUUGUCAUUCAUAAGUGUUAACUUCGAUAGGAAUAAAAUAAUUCGCUACGACAGGAUUACGGUUUCGUUAAUCGGGUUUUGGCCAAUUUGGGUCAGAAUGGUUAGCAUUCGAUACAAACGCUAUCAAAAAAGAGUGUGGCUUAAAUUACAUUCCGAUAAUAGAGAUGGAAAAACAGAAAAUGGAUUCCGACAAAGGGAUGGAAGAACAGACAAUGAAUGUGUAUAUCGUUGUACAUUUAUUGUUAUAAGCAAUGGAUUAAAGUUGUCAUUAAGGAUGUGAAGUUCUACCACGACCAUGAGAAUGGUGGUUCAUUCAUGGUUGAAUGCUCAAAGAGAUCCAAGGGCGCGUGCCGAAGAACACUGACAGGUAGCGUGGAGAUUGACGAUGAAGCCUUUGAAAUCAAACCGAUGCCGGAAAGAUUUGUGUCAAGGUCACUUGCCGGCAACAAGCUCAAUCCCCAUAUGCUCUCCAGGGUGGUAGAUCGAAACGGAAAAGGGAUUCCGAGCGUUAUUGCUAGACGAGGCCAAAGUGCAAAAGAGCUGGAAAACAACCUUUCCAAAGAACUACGACGACUUCUUCUGAAAAGCGAGUUCGACGCCUUCGCAGAGAAGCUAAACCUAUAUCGUGAGAAGAGACAAUCAACGAAGACGACAUAUGCCCUGGAAGUUCUGGUCGGAGCCGACCCUUCCAUUUGGAAAAAGUACCACGCAACUGCUGUUGCCACAUCCACUAUGACCAAGGAUGAGGCAACCGAGUUGUUCAUCCGAAAACGUUUCUCCCACAUCAUUAACGGGAUGAGUCUUCGUUAUGAAAGCAUCGAAGACCCAGAGAUGAAUAUUUACCUGACCAUGAGUGGAAUCAUAAUUUACAAGACAAUCGCUGCCAACAAUCCGUUACCGAAUGGUCAAACGGUGGAGACGGUUGAAGGGAGGGAGGUUGCAGAUGGUGGCUUCUACCUCGAACAGCUGGCCGGCUGGCUUGCGGGUCUCUCUGGUGCACCCAAAAAUGACCACGCUAUGGUGUUUACAGAGUACGACAUAUACUCGCUUGACGGUUCUACGAGAUCGUACGGCGUGGUAGGGAUUGCCUAUAUGAACGGCGUAUGUGCGGGAAAUCGUGUGUCCAUCAACGAGGACGAUGACUACUACACCACAACAAGCGUCGCUGCGCACGAAUUGGGACACAACCUCGGUGCCGACCACGACGGCGAAAAGGAUGUUGCCAUCGCCUCCGCUUGUCCGCCAGCCGACAUGUUCGUCAUGGCCCCAGCUGUAUCCUCAUUCAGUCCCGGCGCUGCGUACACGAUAAACCCAUGGCGCUUCUCGACAUGUUCCGUUAAGCAGUUCAAGAACUACAUCCAGUCGCUGGGUAAUAACAACUGCUUGUUGGACGCUGCAGCCGCCACGGACGAGUACAAACUCCACUCGAGCAAGUUACCCGGAGAGCUGUACUCGCCAACACAACAAUGCCAGCUCGAAUAUGGGCAAGAAUCCAUUUUUGGAUGCGACCAGUCGGCCACAGACCCACUGAUAUGCCUGCACAUGUCAUGCCAGCGUAAAGAUCAAUGUACAUACAUUGCUGCCGCCCGAGGCACACCGUGCGACGAGCCUUCUCUGAACAAGUGGUGCAAAGAGGGAAAGUGUGUCGCUAAAGGGACGUCCGGAACGCCCGGUAACCAAACGCCGAUUGGAAACGGGACCGAUAGUGGUGGAGUACAACCCCAACAACCACAACAACCUGAGCAACCUGAACAACCCCAACAACCCGAACAACCAAGUGAAAACAAUUAUGACUACUGGAAUUAAACACGAAAACCGGCCUAAUGACCACGGAAAAUACGGAUGUCCUGUAGUUUUAUAUAAUUAUAAUUGUCAAGUUGGACGGAUGGGUCCUUAAAAGCACGGGUGCUCUGCACAGUCAUUGGCAAAGAGGCUGAAGCGGAUACUUUUAUAUAUUUUUACAUUAUUGUGAUCCUAUUAUUGUUAAAUGUUGCCAUAAUAUGUUAUUUACCAAACAUUUAACUUGAUAUCUAGUAUUGUCUUCCAUUUCUUUACCAUUAUUAUCCCAGAGGUACUGGUUUAUGUUGUUGUUGCUUUUUAUACUUUUAUUACAUUAUUUUACAUUAUUGUGAUCAUAUUAUUGUUACAUGUUAUCAUACUAUGUUAUUUACCAAAAAAGUAACUUGAUAUCUAGUAUUGUUUUCCAUUUCUUUAGCAAAUUUAUUCUAGAGGCACUGGUUUAUGUUAUACUUUUUAUGGAUGCUUUUAUAUAUUUUUACAUUAUUGUGAUCCUAUUAUUAGCAAAUGCAUUCAAGAGGUACUUGUUUAUGUUCAGUUGUCAUUUUUAUGCCCCCGGAUCGAAUGAUCGGGGCAUAUUGUGUUUGGCCAGUCUGUCAUUCUGUCCCAAAACUUUAACCUUAGUUAAAGUUUUUUGAUAACUUUUGCAAUAUUUAAGACAGAAACUUGAUAUUUGGCAUGUAUGUGUAUCUCAUGGAGCUGCACAUUUUGAGUGGUGAAAGGUCAAGGUCAUCGUUCAAGGUCAAAGAAGCUAAUCCAAGGAAGUAAUAAGCUUUAAAGGGCGAUAAUUAUCUGUACCUGCCAAAUGAACAAAAAACAAAGCGGCGCAAUAGGGGGCAUUGUGUUCCUGACAAACACAUGUCUUGUUAUAAAUACAUUUAUAUAAAGUUCUGUAUUUUUUAGGACCUUAGUUAUAAACAUAUUUUCUAGUCAUACAUAAAAUGUUCUAGUCAUAAGCAUAUAUGUCAUAUUUUCAUACAGUUUGUACAUUAUUGUGAUUCUAUUGUUGUUAAAUGUUAUUAUAUUAUGUUAUUUCCCAAGAAGGUAUCUUGAGUUUAUCAAUAAAUUGCUUGUAUUGAG